Erinaceus europaeus (western European hedgehog) is the source of this 322-nucleotide long non-coding RNA. RefSeq lists it as uncharacterized. The transcript has 3 exons. The record is from RefSeq and is a predicted model, not a curated record. Lineage: Eukaryota; Metazoa; Chordata; Mammalia; Eulipotyphla; Erinaceidae.
UCUGUAUUGAAUCUGCAGCUUGGAUUUAGAGUUCUAUUUGGUAUAAUGUUGGCUAGGAGGAGAAAACAGGGAAGGCAGAAAAUUAUAAGCCCAAAAUACUGGGGGGUUCUAUGUGAGAAUGAAGCCAGAAUAGAAGAGAACUGAAUCAGGACAUGAAGAGUCAACUUCCUGAAAAAAAAAUCUAGUUGGCAUGGCAAAGGUUGGAUGUUAUGUGCUACAUAGCUCUUCAGGGAUCCAUAUGGGCAAGACUCUAUCAUCUUUGAUCCACAGCUAUUGAAAGUGCUUUGAAUAUCAACAUCCAACUGGUACAUAGGAAAAGACU